GGUAGCGUGGCCGAGUUGGUCUAAGGCGUUGGAUUUAAGAAAAGGGUUUCCCCCCCUUGCUUCCCAAUGAAGGUGACUUCGCGCGAGUUCGAAUCUCGCCGCUACCA
This is a non-coding RNA of Lentinula detonsa, 107 nucleotides long. Lineage: Eukaryota; Fungi; Basidiomycota; Agaricomycetes; Agaricales; Omphalotaceae. The record is from the annotation of a GenBank genome assembly.